This 1349-nucleotide ribosomal RNA is filed under the name Lactiplantibacillus plantarum. RNAcentral describes it as "bacterial SSU rRNA". It matches the Rfam family "Bacterial small subunit ribosomal RNA", at positions 72 to 1410 of the family's 1533-position model. Lineage: Bacteria; Bacillati; Bacillota; Bacilli; Lactobacillales; Lactobacillaceae. The record is from RNAcentral.
UAUAGAUUUACAUUUGAGUGAGUGGCGAACUGGUGAGUAACACGUGGGAAACCUGCCCAGAAGCGGGGGAUAACACCUGGAAACAGAUGCUAAUACCGCAUAACAACUUGGACCGCAUGGUCCGAGCUUGAAAGAUGGCUUCGGCUAUCACUUUUGGAUGGUCCCGCGGCGUAUUAGCUAGAUGGUGGGGUAACGGCUCACCAUGGCAAUGAUACGUAGCCGACCUGAGAGGGUAAUCGGCCACAUUGGGACUGAGACACGGCCCAAACUCCUACGGGAGGCAGCAGUAGGGAAUCUUCCACAAUGGACGAAAGUCUGAUGGAGCAACGCCGCGUGAGUGAAGAAGGGUUUCGGCUCGUAAAACUCUGUUGUUAAAGAAGAACAUAUCUGAGAGUAACUGUUCAGGUAUUGACGGUAUUUAACCAGAAAGCCACGGCUAACUACGUGCCAGCARCMGMGGUAAUACGUAGGYGGCAAGCGUUGUCCGGAUUUAWUGGGCGUAAARCGAGCGCAGGCGGUUUUUUAAGUCUGAUGUGAAAGCCUUCGGCUCAAMCGAAGAAAGUGCAUCGGAAACUGGAAAACUGAGUGCAGAAGAGGACAGUGGAACUCCAUGUGUAGCGKUGAAAUGCGUAGAUAUAUGGAAGAACASCAGUGGCKAAGGCGGCUGUCUGGUCUGUAMCUGACGCUGAGSCUCGAAAGUAUGGGUAGCAAACAGGAUUAGAUACCCUGGUAGUCCAUACCGUAAACGAUGAAUGCUAAGUGUUGGAGGGUUUCCGCCCUUCAGUGCUGCAGCUAACGCAUUAAGCAUUCCGCCUGGGGAGUACGGCCGCAAGGCUGAAACUCAAAGGAAUUGACGGGGGCCCGCACAAGCGGUGGAGCAUGUGGUUUAAUUCGAAGCUACGCGAAGAACCUUACCAGGUCUUGACAUACUAUGCAAAUCUAAGAGAUUAGACGUUCCCUUCGGGGACAUGGAUACAGGUGGUGCAUGGUUGUCGUCAGCUCGUGUCGUGAGAUGUUGGGUUAAGUCCCGCAACGAGCGCAACCCUUAUUAUCAGUUGCCAGCAUUAAGUUGGGCACUCUGGUGAGACUGCCGGUGACAAACCGGAGGAAGGUGGGGAUGACGUCAAAUCAUCAUGCCCCUUAUGACCUGGGCUACACACGUGCUACAAUGGAUGGUACAACGAGUUGCGAACUCGCGAGAGUAAGCUAAUCUCUUAAAGCCAUUCUCAGUUCGGAUUGUAGGCUGCAACUCGCCUACAUGAAGUCGGAAUCGCUAGUAAUCGCGGAUCAGCAUGCCGCGGUGAAUACGUUCCCGGGCCUUGUACACACCGCCCGUCACACCAUGAGAG